Dendrobium catenatum is the source of this 1395-nucleotide long non-coding RNA. RefSeq lists it as uncharacterized. The record is from RefSeq and is a predicted model, not a curated record. Lineage: Eukaryota; Viridiplantae; Streptophyta; Magnoliopsida; Asparagales; Orchidaceae. The transcript is spliced from 4 exons.
UGGAUAUUUCUUCUUAAGCUCACCUGAUCGCUAGAGCUUCUGCUAUCUUACCAUCUGUUCGGGCGAAGCGUUGGGAAUCGAUCCUUUCGCGAUGGUGAACGAAGAAGUCGGAAGCAAGCUUGUACGUCUUCUUUAUUUCGUCGGGGCUGGAGUGAUCUGCACUAAGGGCAUUAAUCUUUGGAGGGAUCAUGAACAGAAGGCUGCUCUUAAAGCGACCGAAGCCGCAUCUCCAGCGAAAACUGAGAUGUUGAACGCCGUCGUUCCGAAAUCUUGAACCCUGUUCAGAGCCUUUUGCAUUCAAAGUGGACAUGAACUGAUUAUGGGAAGACAACUUUCUCUUGGUAGACUUAUGGUAGAGUACAUUCUUUUGUUUGAUGCUUUUAUAAUUCAGCCAAUUUAUCAGUGUCUUCUAAAACUCACUAUAUGGUGUAUCUUAUGGUUUCUAAAACUCACUAUGCAGUGUUGUUUUCCUAAUCCCUAUUCCCCUCUUUCUCAUAAAUUCUUCUUUAGGAAAUCUAAUUUUGUGUUAUAAUAGUACUCCGUGUAAGUUUAUUUUAUUAAAAGUAGAUGGGUAAAAUAUUCGGAUUUAAAUACCUUGUGUCCCUAUUAAAUGUUUGUCGUAACUACUUCCAUGUAGGAUUUCAAGUAGUUGGGAUAAGGCUAAUAUGAUGAUGGUGAUGAUCAAGAAAAUCUACAUGAAUAAUUCAAAACUUCCAUUGAUAUGCACUCAAGCCCAGAGAUUUACCCAUUGUUGCUUAGCUUCGUUGGUGGGUGAGUACAGUUGGGAAUCCCUCAACCCGUGUUCGAUUCCCCUUGCGCGGCAUUGCUCUUAAGUGGGGCCCAAUCAAAUGCGGGCCAGGAGGUUUCUGGGGUGGGUGCCUCUUCUAGGUCAGCCGAGGAUUAGUCCUGCCGUCAAGUGCCCUUUCGGGGUUUGCAGCAAGUGGAUACCCCGUUCCAAUAAUAAAAAAAAAGCCCAGAGAUUUUGUGCCAGAAACUAACUCCUGAAAUUGAGUUUUAUCUUUAAAGCAGAAAUUCCAAUAAAUUUGAAAGACAGUUCUAAAUUGGCUAAAGAAUAACCUUAUUAUGCGAACAAUUUUAUAUUCCAUUGGAUAUAUUAGAUGGAAUAGAAUAUCUUUGGCUUGCUGGUGUUUCUUUGAAAUUGCUACCUUGUUAGAUAAUAAGAAGAUAUAGGAUGAGCUUGGAGCGGUUCUUUCAGUUACUUCCAUUAUGGUUUGGAGUUCAUAGGCUUGGGUCACGAAAGUGGCUUCUGUAAAUGCAGUGAUAUGAUUGCAUGCACUAACUCCUCUCUUGACCCUAUAGUAACUUCAGCUUCAUGCAUUGAGUUGACAGUGUAAGAUUUUCGGCACGGGAUUGAAAAUAUUUUUCAUUUUGCUU